CAGAGUUGGCCCUGUUCUCAUCCUGAGAGAGAAGGAGAGAGGGAGGGAGAGAGAGAGGAAGGACUGUAUCAUUUUAGCAUUUGUCAUAGGUACUGGAAUGUCCAUUGACUAUGAGCUAGCUGAACAGUUUGGGAAUUGUUAGGGAACUUUAAUUUUCAAACAUUAAUCUGGUCUCUUUGGACUGAGCUUAUAAACUAUCACCCUAGGGGUAAAGUCAUCAUGGUGAUUCUGAUGAUUCUUUUUUUAAGCCAAACCAUCAGGCAAGCUGUUUAUAUGUCGUGAUAACUUAGUGUAUUGGUAUUACGUAGAGCCUUCAGUGAUGAAAAAAUAUAAACAUCCCAUACCCGUGGAAAGAACUACUACUCCAGCAAAGAUCCUCAUAAUAUUAAAACAAUGCUUAGGACAUAUGGCCAUGUCCAAAGAGCACAUUUCAUGUAAGAAGGAGUUGGAACUGGAAAGAAGAUUUGAGAUUGGAGGGACUAUUAUUAUUUAUUUUACUUUAAGUUCUAGAAUACAUGUGCAGAACGUGCAGGUUUGUUACAUAGGAAUACAUGUGCCAUGGUCCUUUGCUGCACCUAUCAACCUGUCAACCCAUCAUCUAGGUUUUAAGCCCUGCAUGCAUUAGGUAUUUGUCCUGAUGCUCUCCCUUCCCUUGCCCCCCACCCCCCACCCCUCAACAGGCCCUGGUGUGAUGUUCCCCUCCCUAUGUCCAUGUGUUCUCAUUGUCCAAUUCCCAUGUAUGAGUGAGAACAUGUGGUGUUUGGUUUUCUGUUCCUGUGUUAGUUUGCUGAGAAUGAUGGUUUCCAGCUUCAUCCAUGUCCCUGCAAAGGACAUGAACUCAUUCUUUUUUAUGGCUGCAUAGUAUUCCAUGGUGUAUAUGUGCCACAUUUUCUUUAUCCAAUGGAGGGACUAUUAUUAAUACAGGAAUGGUAGAGGGGUCUAGAAUUCUGGAAAUAGCACCUCCUUGGUUAUUGUGCUUGACAUAUCAUUUGAAAUAUGCCCAAAUCAAGGUAUUUGAAUAAUCGAGGCAGGACUUGUAGGUGCUUUGGGCUUUGCCCAAAAGUGAUCACAGACAAUUUGCACUUUUAAAAGAACUUCGAAAGAACAACAUAAAUAGUGUGCAUAAUAAGUAGAGUUGUGCCCAGCAAGGCAGCCUGUAUCAAUGUUUUGCACAAUGUUUGCACAACUCUACAUAUUAUGUACACUAUCCUUGUUUUUUUCUUUUCUUUUUUUUUGAAUGCUUUUUAAAAAUGCAACUUGUUUGCAUUUUGUUUGUCCAAAUUUGGUGACUGGUCACAGAUCACUUGGUGUCCAACUGGCUUUUUCAUAGCCUUUCAGUAGAGAAUAGAACCCCCUCACAUUAAGCACAAUAACAUGACCUCUAAAAUGUCAAGUUCUGCUGCAGUGGUGCCAUCAUUAUUGUCACUGAGGACUUUUCAACCACCAUGUCUUUGUUAGUUGGAAUUCUGAAUUUUCCAGUGGGAUCUAUGGCAUUAAAACCAAAGAGGAAACAGGUCAGGCACUCUCCAGGAAGGAUAUCUGCUCUUACUGUUGUAAUACAGCAUGAAGAGUGUGGGACUCUAGACUGCUGGCCGGACACUUCUCUCUGUUCUCCCCAGUGGUAUAGUUAAUAAUGAUGAUGAACUUGGUGGGGGUGGUAACAAAAUUCAAUCUUAAAAAACGAACAACAAAAUCCAAUCACAAAAUUCAGGUAGACAAGUGAAACCAAUCUCUUGGGAAUCAGAUCUCUCAACUGACAAGUUUCUCUACUUUUAAAUUGAUCAUUAUGGAUAAAAUGAAUGCUGAGUUCAUAGAGAAGAAGGGAAUUUGAACACUUGGUUACACUAAAGGAGAAGGUCCUUCUAGAACUAAAUGGAGGCAUCUGUUUUACUUAAAUUAAGGGUCUGUAAAUACCAGCCAGGGACUGAGUUGACAGCCACUUCUGCAAUAAAGUAAUAAAUCUGUGUUCUGAGACAGCCCAAAGGAG
RNAcentral lists this long non-coding RNA (1987 nucleotides) under Homo sapiens (human). RNAcentral describes it as "HSALNT0051526". The record is from RNAcentral. Lineage: Eukaryota; Metazoa; Chordata; Mammalia; Primates; Hominidae.